Molecule: small RNA, 1202 nt
Filed under: Malus domestica (apple)
Lineage: Eukaryota; Viridiplantae; Streptophyta; Magnoliopsida; Rosales; Rosaceae
Description: sRNA MD06G0085600
Source: RNAcentral
AUGCUUGAGAUUGUUGUGUUGAGUCUCAAAGAAUCAAGGUCGGCCUUGACAUUGCAUAUUUGUCUCUACAGUGUUAAAUCCAGUGUUUUAUUUUGAUUCUACAUUCAUUUUGAUUUUACUUUUGACUUUCAUUCUACGUUCAUUUUGAUUGAGUUGUUUUGAGGAUUUUGCGGGAGGACUCCCUUUGGAAUUGCCGAAUGCUGUUGUUUGUCGGGUGGAUGCCUUGGAAGCAGAGUUAACUGCUACUAAAAAGCCGGUUUUGUAUUUAGCAUCAAUUAAUUGCUUUUUUUCUUGGUGACUACCUAAAUGUUUACACUUUUCAGUUUAACAGAAAAUGAUAAAUUGAGACAAACUUGGAACCUAAUAAAUCAAUAUUAGCGCAAGCCCAUAAACUUAUUUCGUGACUAUCACAAUAUUCUUUCAAUACUCUACGUUUUGCUUACAAUUUUGUUCUCUCUAGGACGUUAAAGUGCAUUUUUUGUUUUUAAGUGUCGCUGCCAAAUACCAACUGUUUGAUUGUGUUUUCUAACCUCUUUUUUCUCAAUAAUGUUAAUGUUUUGUGAUACCAUUUUUACAUCUUUCAAACACAACGUUUAAUACAAUUUUCAAAUCCAAUCAUUUCGAGCUCGGAUUCAGCCAGCCUGUGGUAAGCCUUUAUUUUUGGAUUGCUUUCAUUUGUUUAUAUGUGAAUCAAUAAUUUUUUUGCAAAUAAUGAAUGUCGCAAUUGCUGAUAUUCUUUGUUUAAAAACUUGAACUGUAGAUCUUUGCAAAAUAUCCAUAUAUGGAUCAGUGCCAUGGACUCUUCUCAACCUAUGGACCUCAAGAUCUCACACAAUUGGUGCGGCUCGAAUGGAUCUGUACCAGAGCCUCUUGUGCAGCAGUAUGGUGGCUCUGCAGCUCACAACACUAAAUUACAAAGGAGCUUAUUUGUUGGAGAUUUGAAGAGUAAAACUUAGCGGCGCUGUACCGCUGGAAGUGGUAAUUGCUAAUCAGGGAUAGAGUGAGCGAAUCACAAGUCAACCAAGUCUUGAAUGAUGAAUUGAGCCAGAUCAUUGAGGUCUCUUUGCCAAGUUAAAUUUUCAUUCUACUUUUUAUUUGUAAUGCUCAGUUCUUCACUCAAACAUUGUUUAUGAAGUGAAUGAAUUUGCAUAUGUUUGAAUAAAUUUCCAAUCCCGCAGCAACGCGCGGGCACCGUUGCUAGU